Molecule: ribosomal RNA, 482 nt
Filed under: uncultured bacterium
Lineage: Bacteria
Description: partial 16S ribosomal RNA
Rfam family: Bacterial small subunit ribosomal RNA
Source: RNAcentral
GAUGAACGCUAGCGGCAUGCCUAAUACAUGCAAGUCGAACGGGAUUCAGGAGCUUGCUUCUGAUGAGAGUGGCGCACGGGUGCGUAACACGUAUGUAACCUACCUUUAUCAGGGGGAUAGCCUCUCGGAAGAGAGAUUAUGCCCGCAUAAAAUCACAGCACAGCAUUGUGUAAUGAUCAAAUAUUUAUAGGAUAAAGAUGGGAAUGCGGAACACUAGCUAGAUGGCGGGGUAACGGCCCACCAUGGCGACGAUGUUUAGGGGAUCUGAGAGGAUGGCCCCCCACACUGGUACUGAGACACGGACCAGACUCCUACGGGAGGCAGCAGUAAGGAAUAUUGGUCAAUGGGCGGAAGCCUGAACCAGCCAUGCCGCGUGCAGGAAGACGGCCCUACGGGUUGUAAACUGCUUUUAUACGGGAAUAAACCCAGAUACGUGUAUCUGGCUGAAUGUACUGUAAGAAUAAGGAUCGGCUAACUACGUG